CGAGUCCGAAAUAUGGAGGCUUCCAUUGGCUGAGGCUGCAGUCUCUGACUGGCUGGGCGUCCUGGGGCGGAGGGACGUUUCCUUCCUUCCGCAGAGGUAAGUGGAGGCACCUUCCUGCCCAGGAGGUAGGCAGGGAUCUCUUCCUGUUUGGGGUAAUUGACUUGUGUGGCCGCUGUGAGAGCUCCCGAGAGGGGCAUCCACGUUUCAGCUCUAGCUGAGGAUUCGUGCCGAAUAAUAUUCCACUGCCUGGCUGGACCUCAGCUGUUCAUCCGUCCACCUGCCGAAGGCCAUCUCCGUUACUGCCGAGCUUUGGAAUUCUGAGCAAAGCUGCGAUAAACCCUUGCGUGGAUGGGCUGUGGAUAUAAGUUUACAACUCUUUUGGGUAAAUACAAAGGCGCACGACUGCUGGAUUAUAAGUCUUGAAAGCCUUAGAGCAGAAGCAUCUUCUCGCUCUGAAGAGCUGAAGUCUUUGCACACAGUGGAUGGCGCGGGCAGGAAGUUUUGAAGGUCUGAAGGGCAGGCAUCAGCGCCGCCUCUGGAAGCAUCUGUGGCUGAGAUGAAGGCCUUCACGCAGCGUCUUCUUUAGAACGCCAGACUUGGGGGUCAGGGCUUUGCACACUGUCGGGGUGGCUGCAUCUUCUCAUGUGAUACAAGGAUCAGCCGAAGCUGAAAUGAGGGAAGUGGGACGCACGCCCUCUCUCCGUCUUUCCCGAGUGGCGCUCCCCCCACGGAGACCCGCCCGCCCGAGUACCAAACGCCUUACAGGUCUCUGCGCGCAACCGGGGAUGGAGAGAGAAACUGCAGGCAGCUGCCCGUCUCCACGUGCGGUCCUCGGUGCUUGCAGGAGGGUCCGUGCAGCUCCCACCGAGAAGCCCGCCGCCGCCAGAUGCCAGCUGCAGCGGCAAGCCUGCCUCCCACGCGUUGCCCUGGGUCUUGUCGGUGACAGGCAGCUUUUCUGCUACAAGGUGCUCCAGAGGAGAGGCAUGGAAGACUUGCCAGCACGAGGUGGCUGCCUGGGCGGCAGAGCUGGUGAGCUCCCCCCUCUUGCCUUUGCAGGUGAUCGGGUGGCUAGAGAGCGCCUUAAAUGUUUUUUUUCUAGGGAGUUCUCAUCGUGGCGCAGUGGUUAACGAA
Molecule: long non-coding RNA, 1131 nt
Organism: Sus scrofa (pig)
Lineage: Eukaryota; Metazoa; Chordata; Mammalia; Artiodactyla; Suidae
Source: RefSeq, a predicted model, not a curated record